AGUAGGUUUAGGUGGAUUUUAAAGUUGGAAAACUACAGAUGUACAGGUUUGAAUUGCUUUAUUGCUUUUGAAUAUGCAGUGCUCUGUUAAGAAAAUGGCUGAGGGAGGGUCCUGCCAAUUGGUUCAAGUUAAGGAAUAGCUCAUAAUAAUUUACAAAUCCAAGGGCUAUGAUUUCUUCUUCAGUUUUUUAAUAUACUUUAGGCAUUUUGAUGUGAAUGCUGCACUACCUUGUCCUUGCCUG
RNAcentral lists this unclassified non-coding RNA (241 nucleotides) under Hevea brasiliensis (rubber tree). The record is from RNAcentral. Lineage: Eukaryota; Viridiplantae; Streptophyta; Magnoliopsida; Malpighiales; Euphorbiaceae.